UACAGAGGUCUCGAGCGUUAGGCGGAAUCACUGGGCUUAAAGCGUGUGUAGGCGGAGUUCUAAGUACCUUGUGAAAUCCCACGGCUUAACCGUGGAACUGCUUGGUAUACUGGUUCUCUUGGGCCACUUAGGGGCUACCGGAACAAACGGUGGAGCGGUGAAAUGCGUAGAUAUCGUUUGGAACGCCAAUGGUGAAAACAGGUAGCUGGGAGUGUGCCGACGCUGAGACACGAAAGCCAGGGGAGCGAACGGG
Molecule: ribosomal RNA, 253 nt
Filed under: uncultured bacterium
Lineage: Bacteria
Description: partial 16S ribosomal RNA
Rfam family: Bacterial small subunit ribosomal RNA
Source: RNAcentral